CGGUCAUAUGCUUGUCUCAAAGAUUAAGCCAUGCAAGUGUCAGCUCAAGCCGUACUAUGGUUAAGCCGCGGAAAGCUCAUUACAACAGCCAUUGUUCACUUGAUCUUGACUAUCCUACUUGGAUAACUGUGGUAAUUCUAGAGCUAAUACAUGCAACAAUGCUCUGGUAGCCCUUUGGGGUGACGAGCGCAGUUAUUAGAAUAAAACCAAUCGGGCUUCGGUCUGUCAGUUUGGUGGAUCUGAAUAACUACAGCUGAUCGCACAGUCUUCGCACUGGCGACAAAUCUUUCAAGUGUCUGCCUUAUCAGCUGUCGAUGGUACUCUAUAUGUCUACCAUGGCUGUAACGGGUAACGGAGAAUAAGGGUUCGACUCCGGAGAGGGAGCCUGAGAAACGGCUACCACAUCCAAGGAAGGCAGCAGGCGCGCAAAUUACCCACUCUCGGCAUGAGGAGGUAGUGACGAAAAAUAACGAGGUGGUUCUCUAAGAGGCCCACUAUCGGAAUGGGUACAAUUUAAACCCUUUAACGAGGACCUAUGAGAGGGCAAGUCUGGUGCCAGCAGCCGCGGUAAUUCCAGCUCUCAAGGUGUAUAUCGCCAUUGCUGCGGUUAAAAAGCUCGUAGUUGGAUCUACGGCAUUGGAGCCGGUCCACCCAAAGUGGUGAGAACUGGUUUCCGAGCCUCUAGUCGCUGGUCUAUCCUUGAUGCCCUUCACCGGGUGUCCUGGGUGGCUAGUGAGUUUACUUUGAA
Molecule: ribosomal RNA, 748 nt
Filed under: Camacolaimus environmental sample
Lineage: Eukaryota; Metazoa; Nematoda; Chromadorea; Plectida; Leptolaimidae
Description: bacterial SSU rRNA
Rfam family: Eukaryotic small subunit ribosomal RNA
Source: RNAcentral